RNAcentral lists this ribosomal RNA (1424 nucleotides) under Staphylococcus sp. RNAcentral describes it as "bacterial SSU rRNA". It matches the Rfam family "Bacterial small subunit ribosomal RNA". Lineage: Bacteria; Bacillati; Bacillota; Bacilli; Caryophanales; Staphylococcaceae. The record is from RNAcentral.
UGCAAGUCGAGCGAACAGACAAGGAGCUUGCUCCUUUGACGUUAGCGGCGGACGGGUGAGUAACACGUGGGUAACCUACCUAUAAGACUGGGAUAACUUCGGGAAACCGGAGCUAAUACCGGAUAAUAUUUCGAACCGCAUGGUUCGAUAGUGAAAGAUGGUUUUGCUAUCACUUAUAGAUGGACCCGCGCCGUAUUAGCUAGUUGGUAAGGUAACGGCUUACCAAGGCGACGAUACGUAGCCGACCUGAGAGGGUGAUCGGCCACACUGGAACUGAGACACGGUCCAGACUCCUACGGGAGGCAGCAGUAGGGAAUCUUCCGCAAUGGGCGAAAGCCUGACGGAGCAACGCCGCGUGAGUGAUGAAGGUCUUCGGAUCGUAAAACUCUGUUAUUAGGGAAGAACAUACGUGUAAGUAACUAUGCACGUCUUGACGGUACCUAAUCAGAAAGCCACGGCUAACUACGUGCCAGCAGCCGCGGUAAUACGUAGGUGGCAAGCGUUAUCCGGAAUUAUUGGGCGUAAAGCGCGCGUAGGCGGUUUUUUAAGUCUGAUGUGAAAGCCCACGGCUCAACCGUGGAGGGUCAUUGGAAACUGGAAAACUUGAGUGCAGAAGAGGAAAGUGGAAUUCCAUGUGUAGCGGUGAAAUGCGCAGAGAUAUGGAGGAACACCAGUGGCGAAGGCGACUUUCUGGUCUGUAACUGACGCUGAUGUGCGAAAGCGUGGGGAUCAAACAGGAUUAGAUACCCUGGUAGUCCACGCCGUAAACGAUGAGUGCUAAGUGUUAGGGGGUUUCCGCCCCUUAGUGCUGCAGCUAACGCAUUAAGCACUCCGCCUGGGGAGUACGACCGCAAGGUUGAAACUCAAAGGAAUUGACGGGGACCCGCACAAGCGGUGGAGCAUGUGGUUUAAUUCGAAGCAACGCGAAGAACCUUACCAAAUCUUGACAUCCUUUGACAACUCUAGAGAUAGAGCCUUCCCCUUCGGGGGACAAAGUGACAGGUGGUGCAUGGUUGUCGUCAGCUCGUGUCGUGAGAUGUUGGGUUAAGUCCCGCAACGAGCGCAACCCUUAAGCUUAGUUGCCAUCAUUAAGUUGGGCACUCUAAGUUGACUGCCGGUGACAAACCGGAGGAAGGUGGGGAUGACGUCAAAUCAUCAUGCCCCUUAUGAUUUGGGCUACACACGUGCUACAAUGGACAAUACAAAGGGCAGCGAAACCGCGAGGUCAAGCAAAUCCCAUAAAGUUGUUCUCAGUUCGGAUUGUAGUCUGCAACUCGACUACAUGAAGCUGGAAUCGCUAGUAAUCGUAGAUCAGCAUGCUACGGUGAAUACGUUCCCGGGUCUUGUACACACCGCCCGUCACACCACGAGAGUUUGUAACACCCGAAGCCGGUGGAGUAACCAUUUGGAGCUAGCCGUCGAAG